CAGUAGCCACGGUAAUGCGUUGGCCCCGAGCGUUGUCCGGAUUUAUUGGGCGUAAAGCGAGCGCAGGCGGUUAGAUAAGUCUGAAGUUAAAGGCUGUGGCUUAACCAUAGUACACUUUGGAAACUGUUUAACUUGAGUGCAAGAGGGGAGAGUGGAAUUCCAUGUGUAGCGGUGAAAUGCGUAGAUAUAUGGAGGAACACCGGUGGCGAAAGCGGCUCUCUGGCUUGUAACUGACGCUGAGGCUCGAAAGCGUGGGGCGCAAACAGGAUUAGAUACCCCGGUAGUCCCUGUCUCUUAUACA
Molecule: ribosomal RNA, 301 nt
Filed under: uncultured bacterium
Lineage: Bacteria
Description: partial 16S ribosomal RNA
Rfam family: Bacterial small subunit ribosomal RNA
Source: RNAcentral